CCAGCUUGCUGGGGGGAUUAGUGGCGAACGGGUGAGUAACACGUGAGUAACCUGCCCUUGACUCUGGGAUAAGCCUGGGAAACUGGGUCUAAUACCGGAUAUGACCAUCUGGCGCAUGUCAUGGUGGUGGAAAGCUUUUGUGGUUUUGGAUGGACUCGCGGCCUAUCAGCUUGUUGGUGGGGUAAUGGCCUACCAAGGCGACGACGGGUAGCCGGCCUGAGAGGGUGACCGGCCACACUGGGACUGAGACACGGCCCAGACUCCUACGGGAGGCAGCAGUGGGGAAUAUUGCACAAUGGGCGAAAGCCUGAUGCAGCGACGCCGCGUGAGGGAUGACGGCCUUCGGGUUGUAAACCUCUUUCAGUAGGGAAGAAGCGAAAGUGACGGUACCUGCAGAAGAAGCGCCGGCUAACUACGUGCCAGCAGCCGCGGUAAUACGUAGGGCGCAAGCGUUAUCCGGAAUUAUUGGGCGUAAAGAGCUCGUAGGCGGUUUGUCGCGUCUGCUGUGAAAGACCGGGGCUCAACUCCGGUUCUGCAGUGGGUACGGGCAGACUAGAGUGCAGUAGGGGAGACUGGAAUUCCUGGUGUAGCGGUGAAAUGCGCAGAUAUCAGGAGGAACACCGAUGGCGAAGGCAGGUCUCUGGGCUGUAACUGACGCUGAGGAGCGAAAGCAUGGGGAGCGAACAGGAUUAGAUACCCUGGUAGUCCAUGCCGUAAACGUUGGGCACUAGGUGUGGGGGACAUUCCACGUUUUCCGCGCCGUAGCUAACGCAUUAAGUGCCCCGCCUGGGGAGUACGGCCGCAAGGCUAAAACUCAAAGGAAUUGACGGGGGCCCGCACAAGCGGCGGAGCAUGCGGAUUAAUUCGAUGCAACGCGAAGAACCUUACCAAGGCUUGACAUGAACCGGAAAGACCUGGAAACAGGUGCCCCGCUUGCGGUCGGUUUACAGGUGGUGCAUGGUUGUCGUCAGCUCGUGUCGUGAGAUGUUGGGUUAAGUCCCGCAACGAGCGCAACCCUCGUUCUAUGUUGCCAGCGCGUUAUGGCGGGGACUCAUAGGAGACUGCCGGGGUCAACUCGGAGGAAGGUGGGGACGACGUCAAAUCAUCAUGCCCCUUAUGUCUUGGGCUUCACGCAUGCUACAAUGGCCGGUACAAAGGGUUGCGAUACUGUGAGGUGGAGCUAAUCCCAAAAAGCCGGUCUCAGUUCGGAUUGGGGUCUGCAACUCGACCCCAUGAAGUCGGAGUCGCUAGUAAUCGCAGAUCAGCAACGCUGCGGUGAAUACGUUCCCGGGCCUUGUACACACCGCCCGUCAAGUCACGAAAGUU
RNAcentral lists this ribosomal RNA (1326 nucleotides) under Paenarthrobacter nitroguajacolicus. RNAcentral's name for it is "bacterial SSU rRNA". It matches the Rfam family "Bacterial small subunit ribosomal RNA", at positions 75 to 1412 of the family's 1533-position model. The record is from RNAcentral. Lineage: Bacteria; Bacillati; Actinomycetota; Actinomycetes; Micrococcales; Micrococcaceae.